ACACCCCAUCAAGCCUGGCUUGGUAUUGGGCGACGGGACCUCCCCGCGCCCCGAUUUCGCCGGCUGGACGACCCCGAUCUCUCAAGCGUUGUACAAUCUCGCUGGUGAGAGGGGCGGCCACGCCGUUAACCUUAAUCAAUUCAAG
RNAcentral lists this unclassified non-coding RNA (145 nucleotides) under uncultured Devriesia. RNAcentral describes it as "sequence contains ITS2". The record is from RNAcentral. Lineage: Eukaryota; Fungi; Ascomycota; Dothideomycetes; Mycosphaerellales; Teratosphaeriaceae.